This is an unclassified non-coding RNA of Macaca fascicularis (crab-eating macaque), 145 nucleotides long. It matches the Rfam family "Metazoan signal recognition particle RNA". Rfam says of the family: The signal recognition particle (SRP) is a universally conserved ribonucleoprotein. It is involved in the co-translational targeting of proteins to membranes. Lineage: Eukaryota; Metazoa; Chordata; Mammalia; Primates; Cercopithecidae. The record is from Ensembl.
GCCGGGUGUGGUGGUGCAUACCUGUAGUCCCAGCUACUCAGGAGGCUGAGGUGGGAGGAUUGCUUGAGCCCAGGAAGUCACUGCAGUGGGUUGUGAUCUCGCCACUGCACUCCAGCCUGGGUGACAGAGUGAGACCUUGCCUCUA